Molecule: ribosomal RNA, 502 nt
Filed under: uncultured bacterium
Lineage: Bacteria
Description: partial 16S ribosomal RNA
Rfam family: Bacterial small subunit ribosomal RNA
Source: RNAcentral
AUUGAACGCUGGCGGCAUGCCUUACACAUGCAAGUCGAACGGCAGCACGGGUGCUUGCACCUGGUGGCGAGUGGCGAACGGGUGAGUAAUACAUCGGAACGUACCUUAUCGUGGGGGAUAACGCAGCGAAAGCUGUGCUAAUACCGCAUACGCCCUGAGGGGGAAAGCGGGGGAUCGCAAGACCUCGCGCGAUUAGAGCGGCCGAUGCCUGAUUAGCUUGUUGGUGGGGUAAAAGCCCACCAAGGCGACGAUCAGUAGCUGGUCUGAGAGGACGACCAGCCACACUGGGACUGAGACACGGCCCAGACUCCUACGGGAGGCAGCAGUGGGGAAUUUUGGACAAUGGGCGCAAGCCUGAUCCAGCCAUUCCGCGUGCAGGAUGAAGGCCCUCGGGUUGUAAACUGCUUUUGUACGGAACGAAAAGGCCUUCUCUAAUACAGAGGGCUCAUGACGGUACCGUAAGAAUAAGCACCGGCUAACUACGUGCCAGCCGCCGCAGUAA